CACCACUCAAGCUCUGCUUGGUAUUGGGCCCUCGUCCCCCCGGGGACGUGCCCGAAAAUCAGUGGCGUCGCCGCCUGACUUCAAGCGCAGUAAUUCUUCUCGCUUUGGAAGGAAGGGUCGGUCGACCGCCAGACAAACCCAUCAUUUUUCUAU
This 153-nucleotide unclassified non-coding RNA is filed under the name uncultured Sarea. Its description in RNAcentral is "sequence contains ITS2". Lineage: Eukaryota; Fungi; Ascomycota; Lecanoromycetes; Pertusariales; Pertusariaceae. The record is from RNAcentral.